Molecule: long non-coding RNA, 994 nt
Filed under: Setaria viridis
Lineage: Eukaryota; Viridiplantae; Streptophyta; Magnoliopsida; Poales; Poaceae
Description: long non-coding RNA (SVIR_LNC002806)
Source: RNAcentral
UAAAUCGUAGUAACGUAAUAAAAAUUAUACAAAAUGUAUACAAAAUUAGAAUAACCAUUUAUACUAAAUAAGUGUUUAGCAUUUCUACAAAUUUCUACUAAUUUUUGAAUCAUUUAUAAUAAAACAUAGUAAUUUCUAAAAGUUAUACAAAAUGUACACAAAAUUAGACUAAGCAUCUGAACUAAAUUAUACUAAUUUCCUACUCAUCAUAGUAAUUUCGACUAAGUUUAAACUAAUAAUAGUAUAUUACUAUUGAUUUUUUAGUAAUCUAUUGAUUUUGUACACAUUUUUAUUGAUUUUCUAACUAAAAAAUAAAAAAGGGCCCUUGCGUCAACAAGGGCCCCGCCGUACGUGCGGGAGCCAGGGCCGGCGGGGGUUCGGCGGUGGCGACGGGGGCAGGGGUGUUGGAGGUAUGCCCUAGAGGCAAUCAUAGAGAUGAUGAUAUUCCAUUUGUAUCCAUAAUUUGUAUAUUGUGUUCAUUGAAUAUCCAUUAAAGGCUACUUGAAUUGAUUUGCAAUUAUGUGAAUUGUAUGUGAAACUCUUUACUUGUAUGGUUAUUCUAAAGUUGUCCCUAGUCGGAGUUCAUGUGAGGACACACAUGAAUAUUAGACUAGCACAUGUAUUAGUUGAUGACUAUGUUUCACAAGUCAUGGACAUGGAGAUGUUGAACUAAUAAUGUGGACACAUGUGGAGACAUGUGCUAGGACUGACCCAACACGAGAAGUAGUUCUCUCUUUAAACAACAUAUACGCUUUGUCCUUAGACCUGAGAUUGUCGCAUGUAUUCAAGAUGUGGAUCGACAUACUUAGGGGCUAUCAAACGCUACGCCGUAACAGGGUAGUUAUAAAGGUGGCUUUCGGGUUUGUCAAGAAGCAUGCUAUGAGACAUGGUCAAUCAAGAUGGGAUUUGCCCCUCUCUAAUUGAGAGUGAUAUCUCUGGGCCCUUCGAGUGAUCGGAUCCGAAAAUGCAUGGCCAUGCUACGUACGGUUAAGAG